Long non-coding RNA from Sarcophilus harrisii (Tasmanian devil), 217 nucleotides. RefSeq lists it as uncharacterized. The record is from RefSeq and is a predicted model, not a curated record. The transcript is spliced from 2 exons. Lineage: Eukaryota; Metazoa; Chordata; Mammalia; Dasyuromorphia; Dasyuridae.
GGGAAUUUGAACUACAUGAAAAGAAAGCAUAAAAGCCACUUGUUCCACUUCUACUAAAGCUCACUGCAAUGAAGGAAACAAAGAAAAAGACUGUCCCUGAGAGCAGGAGACACAGCAAUUGGGAUGGUGUGGGGAAGAAUAAAUAAGAAGACUAGAUUGAAGAAAUUCUUUUUUUCCCAAACUAUUGACAAGUAAAAUAUUUAAUGAAGACUCCAAA